This 61-nucleotide transfer RNA is filed under the name Burkholderia pseudomallei 1106b. RNAcentral's name for it is "partial tRNA-Ser". It matches the Rfam family "tRNA", at positions 16 to 71 of the family's 71-position model. From Rfam's summary of the family: Transfer RNA (tRNA) molecules are approximately 80 nucleotides in length. Their secondary structure includes four short double-helical elements and three loops (D, anti-codon, and T loops). RNAcentral also lists the same sequence under 1 other name. Lineage: Bacteria; Pseudomonadati; Pseudomonadota; Betaproteobacteria; Burkholderiales; Burkholderiaceae. The record is from RNAcentral.
CGGUUAGAAUACCGGCCUGUCACGCCGGGGGUCGCGGGUUCGAGUCCCGUCCGCUCCGCCA